RNAcentral lists this ribosomal RNA (713 nucleotides) under Salmonella enterica subsp. enterica serovar Dublin. RNAcentral's name for it is "partial 23S ribosomal RNA". It matches the Rfam family "Bacterial large subunit ribosomal RNA", at positions 711 to 1420 of the family's 2925-position model. The record is from RNAcentral. Lineage: Bacteria; Pseudomonadati; Pseudomonadota; Gammaproteobacteria; Enterobacterales; Enterobacteriaceae.
AGACCCGAAACCCGGUGAUCUAGCCAUGGGCAGGUUGAAGGUUGGGUAACACUAACUGGAGGACCGAACCGACUAAUGUUGAAAAAUUAGCGGAUGACCUGUGGCUGGGGGUGAAAGGCCAAUCAAACCGGGAGAUAGCUGGUUCUCCCCGAAAGCUAUUUAGGUAGCGCCUCGUGAAUUCAUCUCCGGGGGUAGAGCACUGUUUCGGCUAGGGGGCCAUCCCGGCUUACCAACCCGAUGCAAACUGCGAAUACCGGAGAAUGUUAUCACGGGAGACACACGGCGGGUGCUAACGUCCGUCGUGAAGAGGGAAACAACCCAGACCGCCAGCUAAGGUCCCAAAGUCAUGGUUAAGUGGGAAACGAUGUGGGAAGGCCCAGACAGCCAGGAUGUUGGCUUAGAAGCAGCCAUCAUUUAAAGAAAGCGUAAUAGCUCACUGGUCGAGUCGGCCUGCGCGGAAGAUGUAACGGGGCUAAACCAUGCACCGAAGCUGCGGCAGCGACGCUUAUGCGUUGUUGGGUAGGGGAGCGUUCUGUAAGCCUGUGAAGGUGGCCUGUGAGGGUUGCUGGAGGUAUCAGAAGUGCGAAUGCUGACAUAAGUAACGAUAAAGCGGGUGAAAAGCCCGCUCGCCGGAAGACCAAGGGUUCCUGUCCAACGUUAAUCGGGGCAGGGUGAGUCGACCCCUAAGGCGAGGCCGAAAGGCGUAGUCGAUG